UACGGAGGGUGCAAGCGUUGCUCGGAAUUAUUGGGCGUAAAGGGUAGGUAGGUGGUCUCAUUUGUCUGAGGUGAAAUCCUUGAGCUUAACUCAAGAAGUGCCUCAGAAACGGUGAGACUAGAGUCCUGGAGAGGGUCGUGGAAUUCCCGGUGUAGCGGUGAAAUGCGUAGAGAUCGGGAGGAACACCAGAGGCGAAGGCGGCGACCUGGACAGGCACUGACACUCAACUACGAAAGCGUGGGGAGCAAACAGG
RNAcentral lists this ribosomal RNA (253 nucleotides) under uncultured bacterium. RNAcentral describes it as "partial 16S ribosomal RNA". It matches the Rfam family "Bacterial small subunit ribosomal RNA", at positions 524 to 776 of the family's 1533-position model. The record is from RNAcentral.